GGGGAGUACGGUCGCAAGACCGAAACUCAAAGGAAUUGACGGGGGCCUGCACAAGCGGUGGAGCAUGUGGUUUAAUUUGAUACAACGUGCAAAACCUUACCAACCCUUGACAUAUGAACAACAAAACCUGUCCUUAACAGGAUGGUACUGACUUUCAUACAGGUGCUGCAUGGCUGUCGUCAGCUCAUGUCAUGAGAUGUUUGGUCAAGUCCUGUAACGAGCGAAACCCUCGUUUUGUGUUGCUGAGACAUGCGCCUAAGGAGAAAUUUCCACCGAGUGACGUGCCAGCGCUACUACUUGAUUGAGUGCCAGCACGUAGCUGUGCUUUCAGCAAGAAUUUCACCAUUGGGAGCCGGUGCCUUCCCAAGCAGUUUCAGGUGUGAAACGAAGUCUUCUUGCCCAAGACCCACGGAGACCUACCUAUAGUGACGUCAAAGUACCAGUGAGCAUGGAGGUUCGGUUGAAAUUGGUUACGACGACGUCGACUUGGCGGCGGAGGAAGACUCGGCAUAAAGGCCAGAAAAUGGUGUGUAAUGUAGUGGUAAUACUACGCACCCCGCUCCGAAUCAAAGAAAAAAGUGCGUGCCGCACUCACGAGUGAUUACCAGUGAGAUACUGGAGGAAGGUGGGGAUGACAUCAAGUCCGCAUGGCCCUUAUGGGCUGGGCCACAAACGUGCUACAAUGGCAAUGAUAAUGGGAAGCAAGGCUGUAAGGCGGAGCGAAUCCAGAACGAUUGCCUCAGUUCGGAUUGUUCUCCGCAACUCGGGAACAUGAAGUUGAAAUUGCUAGUAAUCGUGGAUCAGCAUGCCGCGGUGAAUAUGUACCCGGGCCCUACACACACCGCCCGUCACACCCUGGGAAUUGGUUUCGCCCGAAGCAUCGGACCAAUGAGCACCCAUGACUUCUAUGUACCACUAGUGCCACAAAGGCCUUUGGUGGUCUUAUUGGCGCAUACCACGGUGGGGUCUUCGACUGGGGUGAAGUCGUAACAAGGUAGCCGUAGGGGAACCUGUGGCUG
This 1019-nucleotide ribosomal RNA is filed under the name Triticum dicoccoides. RNAcentral describes it as "rRNA SSU_rRNA_eukarya". It matches the Rfam family "Bacterial small subunit ribosomal RNA", at positions 875 to 1520 of the family's 1533-position model. The record is from RNAcentral. Lineage: Eukaryota; Viridiplantae; Streptophyta; Magnoliopsida; Poales; Poaceae.